CUAAUUAAAAAAUUGACUUUAUGUACAUAAAAUAAAUAAAUAAAUAAAUAAAUACGCCUACGAAAUUGAUAUAAACACAUAUAUACGUGGCUUUAAAAAAAUACACAAAUUUUACACAUCCUGUGUCAUAGAUGGAGGACUUGUGAGGUAGUUAUAUCCAAGCAUUCCCUUGUAGAUGUACACGUAAUGAUCCUAACACAUAGGCAAUUGUAUAAAAUUAAGGGGACAAUAACUUGGUAAUUGUUUGAUACACAUGGCCCGAUUGAUAAGAUUCAGAUUUUGAUCUGCAAAACAAAGGUUGUUACCGACCGUGUUUAUAAAUUACGGGUCUUGCCAACAUUGCAAAAAGGUUCUGAACAUUCUCCUCCCAUUUAAGUGUCAAAACAUGAAUCAAAACUCAAUUUAACUAAAUCAACCUCUAUAAUUUUUUAUGUAUUUUCUAUUAAUUUUAAUCAAUUAAGUAGUAUUAUUCAUAAUUUAUUAUUAUUUUUUUAAUCUUUUUAAUGUUUAUCAUAAUUAAAAUAUUAAAAAAAAAGUACCAAUAGGAGUUCGUAUCCUUCCAAAGUAUAAUUAAAAAAAAGUGAUGGAGGUUGCUUUCUAGAAUGCAAUCAAUGGAUGAGUGGAAAAAAAAAGUAGUUUUGCGCGUUUUAUUUGAAAUACAUGGUAUUUGAUAUUUGUAAAAGGAAUACUUUAAAAAAUGCCUAUAUACAAUGUUCAUCUCUUGAGGCAAAUAUUAACUUGAGGUUCUUAAAGAAACAUUUGUUCUGAUUUCUAUUUUCUAAAUUAAGAUUAAAUAAAAACAUUUAUUUUGAAGUUGUUCAAAUAAUUAACUAAAUAUAUCAGGUAUUCUUUGUCAUCCAUGCCUUUAAACAUUCACUAUUGUUAUAUUAAAUCUUUCUUUUUAACCUUCUAUAAACAUGUUUUCAUAGAUUAGUAAUCUAAUUGAUUAAAGCAACCAUAAUUUUAAUAUUUAUGUUACUUUAUAUAGAAAAUAAGAAAUAAAAAAGUAUACUUUUAUGUUUACAGUUUUGAAAAAUAAUAAUAAGUUUUGAAAAAUAAAAUAAGGUAAAAAGAAAUAAAUAAAAAAAGUUUCAAAUAAAAAAAAAUUACUUUUUAAAAGAUUAAUUACACAAAUUCACCAAAAUGUUAUUUCCUAUUUAAGUUAGUUAACAAGUAUUCCAAAGAUAUUUCUUAACAUGUUCAAUAAAAUAAAAAUGUUUUCAUGGUAUUAAAUAAAAACUCCAUUUUAAUAUGUGAAAAUGAAAGACAAGAUAAUCAAGUAAAACAGCUCUAAAUUAAAAAAUCUUUGAAAUCCUAAGUUUGGGAAGAGCAAUUUAAUGUUUGUGUGCUAUCUAUUUCCCGUGAAUUCUAUCCUAUACAUUCAAGUGAUAGUGGUCUUUCCCUUAAAAAAAGAAAAUGAUGGCGGUUUAUCCGUAUAGUAAAAUAUUAAAAAACAUGCAACCGACUUAUAUGAAAACAAGCAGACAAGAAUUUUAGUGAUAGAUGGUAGCUUUGAUCCUUUAUUGGGAGUGGUUGAGCAAACUAAGUCUCAUGGUACUCAAGACUCAUCCCAUCAGUUUGUUCCUGUCAAUAGGGGAAUAUCGGGUUCCUCUAGAAUGAUCUACUCAUUUUAAUUUUACUUAUUCAGUUAUUAAAUUAAAAAUUAAAAUAACAACUUUCUAAUUUUCUCACUUUAUAUUUUAUUCAUUAUAGAGAGUUCAAAUCAAAAGGAUCAAGCCAAUCUUUAACCUGCAGUUAGCAGUAUCAUCUUGAAUUCUCAAUUGCUCUCCGUUUAACAUAAUUUAUUUACUAAUUUUAAAUUCUUUGUUAUAUGGCAAGAGUUAGAAAAUAAUUUGUUAUUAUGAUUUUAAAUGGGAUUUAUCAACACAAAGUAUUCUUACCAAAAAAGAGUUUAUUCUAGAGAAGGUUUGGAUUCUCCAAAAUAAAUUUACUUACAUAAUUUACUAUAGAGUCAUUGAAUCUAAAAAUGCGAAAUUAGUAGUUUAUAUUUAACAUAUGAUUCUAUAACAAGCCACACGAAACAGCCACCGUGGAUGAUUCAAAUUAAACAACAAAAAAGUCAAAUUUAGAAUAACAACUCACACCAAAAUAUAAAACAUUAGAAAGAUGGUAGAUUAUCACAUAUUUACACACGUAGAUUAUGUAAUAUAUUAUAUUGGAUUGAGAUUUAGGACUUACUGUACAAAUUUAAAAUUGAAAUUUGUGCAUCUCAAAUGGGAAGCCGGGAAGCCAUCUGAAUUUAAUUGGAUGUCUCAAAUGACACAACUAUGGAGAAUGCAUGAUUUUGCUAAGUAAAGGUAGGAUGAAAUAUGAAAAACAUGGGACAGUAUAAGAGCCAAUUCUAUUGUGAAGCUCAUUUACUCUCCAAUUUCAUUGAAGCUCAUUUCAUCAAUAAAGAACUUGCGAAAAUUAGUAAUGUACACGGUUUAUGUACAGGUUACUUUGUGAAACAAAUAUCAAAAGAUACUCUCUUAAACCUCCUCCGAUAAGCCUUUUUGCUCACCAGGGUGGCACAUCUUCCAGAUAUAUAUAUAUAUA
This 2559-nucleotide long non-coding RNA is filed under the name Cicer arietinum (chickpea). RNAcentral's name for it is "long non-coding RNA (CARI_LNC000333)". The record is from RNAcentral. Lineage: Eukaryota; Viridiplantae; Streptophyta; Magnoliopsida; Fabales; Fabaceae.